UAAUGUCCCUAAUAAUUUUUGAAAUCAUUUAAAGUUAGUAAACAAUCUCUCCACAGCUUCAAAGGGGCAUUAUCAGUUUUUAAAACUUUUGGCACACCUAAAUAUGAGAAGCAAGUAAAGAGGUGUUGCACAACAUCUUUAUAAGCUUCUCCAGUUUGUUUUGUAACCUAAAUCUGGUCUAUAGCUUUUUAGAUGACAAGCAACCAUCUAAUCUUUGCUUGAAUACUUCCAGCAACAGGGAACUCACUACUCUUCAAGGUUUUAAACUCUCCCUCACCUUUUUUUUUUUUCUACAGCAUUCUCACCCCGCAUAUCACUUUCUCUAAUCCCACCAACUCAUUUUCAGUAUUAUACGUGGGCCAGGAACUAGGCCAGUCUUUCCCAGCAAUGUUAAGAGACGUCUGUUCUUGUGUCUAAUAGCCCUGACAUUUUAUUUUCUUGAAUUAAAAGAUCUUUUAAAGGCCUUGGAGCUGUAAUUCCCUGCACCCAAAAAGCUAGAUCACUAAAUCUAAAUGCUCUGUGGCUCCUAGCUUGAGAAGUCAAGGUUUUUCUUGUCUGAUAAUAAGGUAAAAAGCAAAAGCUGUGUUACUCUUUGACCUUUAUUAAUUUGCACAGUUUUAGUAGGCGGUGAGAACAAAACUUUAAUUUCUCAAUAUAAUCAGAAUCUACUACACCAUGCACCACCGAAAUUUUCUUUUUCUUUUUAUUUAUUUAUUUAUUCUUUUUCUUUCUUUCUUUCUUUCUUUUUUUUUUUUUUUUUUUAAGAAAGCGAGCUACGCCCUAGCACAAGUCCUACAAUGCCCUCAGGUAGGGGGCCAGCCACUCCCGUUGGAAUUGGAGUAACCUCGUCAAGAGUUAAUAUUGUUGCUAAAUCCCCUUACCGUUUGGCUUUUCUCUUAGCCUGGGUGAGACCCCCCUGAGGGGGUUUUCUCCAAGGAGCACGCUCUGCAUAUUGUGCAUGCAGUCUGUUUUAAAAGCUCCACUGUUUAAAAAACUUUUUAUCUUUUUCAGGCUUAGGCAACACUUUGAGAGGCUUUGGGGGCAAAGUGGGGAACUCUUGGGCCCUGGAAGGCGCAAACGGAGGCGGCGGCUAUUGCCCCAAAUCAGAAAGUGGUGGAUAAGUUUUUUUAAAAGUUUGCGCAGAGUGGGAGGUAGCUCGCCAGGGCGUCUGGCCACAGUGUCCUGUCUUGGCCACCUAUAAUGUUGAACAGUCCUUUUUCAAUGACUGGUUCACUGGGCACUUGAACUUCCAAACUGAGCACCAGUGAUUAAGAGAAAUAGUUCACAAUAAAGGGCAAGGGCUGUCACUAAUAACUGCCCUCCACAUAGUCCAGAGUGGAGUACUAGACUUGCAAUCUUAAGGCAGAACAAUGAACCAGGACUCUCUAAAGGAUGCUAUUUUUAAAUUAACAACAAUGAUAAAGAAGAGAAGAAAGAAAUGAAGUGUCACAAUUAUGAGUAAAUGGAGUGAAAUCUUGGAAAAGUAUCAGUGACUCAGUUUCCAGAUUCCUAUGGGCUUAGGAAUUGAUUUCUUUGCAUUUGCUUUGUUGGCAAAACUUAAGAAAAAUCAGGACACUUGGGUAACCAACUUGUGUUCAAACUUAACUAUGCUAUAAUUCAAAUAUCUACUUAUCUGUCUUUAGAGCCAAGUUUACAAAAUAAAUAAUGAAGUGGAAUCCCUGCUGCAAUUUCUAAAUGGUAUCUGGAAAUACUUUACCAAUGGGUCAGUUACAGAGAGGAAAUGGGUAGUUCAUGCCUUGAUGCAAGUUAAAACAUUGAGAGUCAAUUUCUCCAGAGUGUCAGGGCAAAGGCCUUCCACAUUCUCUUUGUCUAAACCAUGAGUCUAUGAUAGUCAAAGAAGGAACAAGACCUUUAUUUGUUCAAGGAAUUUUUUUCAUUCUAUUUCUCAUAUUAGGGCUUGAAAAUUUCAGCAAAACAAACAAAAAUAUUAUUACUCAUAGUUUUAUUAAAGGAGAGGUUUACAUCCAAGACGGUCAUCUGGCUGACUAAAGAAAACUUGGAAUUAAAAAUCCAUCUCUCCUCACUUCUUAUUCCUUUCCUGGGACUUUUAGCUAUUUACCAUGACUUAAUAUAAAGACUGCAGUCCACAGGGUCACUGAGGGUUGGACACGACUGAACAACUUCACUUUCACUUUUCACUUUCAUGCAUUGGAGAAGAAAAUGGCAACACACUCCAGUGUUCUUGCCUGGAGAAUCCCAGGGACGGGGGAGCCUGGUGGGCUGCUGUCUAUGGGGUCGCACAGAGUUGGACACAACUGACUCGACUUAGCAGCAGUAGCAGCAGCAAUAUACAUUCAUCUAUUCUUGCUCAGGAAGUUAGAAAAACAGAGACUAAGACAGAGAUUAGUAGGGGUAGAGUGGGCAGUUCAGUAUCUCCAGUUCUCUGGGUAGUUCUAAAUGGUAUAAAGUUCUAAAAGGUAUACUUUCAUUUUAUCAGGACAAAAAUAAACAGUUGAUGGAGCUAAAACAUAUUCUCUUAGUUCUUCCUAAACGUCUUCCACCACAAGACUUGUAGUGGGUUGAGGGAUAAGAUGAGUCUGCCAGCAAGUUUUUUAACUUCCCAGAACAAAAGUAUUGUGCAAGGUCAAGGUUGGGUUUGCAUGACUGAUACCAUUUUAUUUUGUAAAAGGGGAAUGGGAACUUUGGGUUUCUCCUUAGGUCUGAAAGUUUUUUUUUAAUCUAUUUUCUCUGUUUCCCUAGUCUAUUUCCCACAAUGCCAUGCCAUAAUUAUCACAAGAUGGCACCUCUGGUGAAAGCCUCUUGGUGAAAGUGAAAGUGGAGAGUGACAAAGUUGGCUUAAAGCUCA
Molecule: long non-coding RNA, 2827 nt
Filed under: Bos grunniens (domestic yak)
Lineage: Eukaryota; Metazoa; Chordata; Mammalia; Artiodactyla; Bovidae
Description: lncRNA (ENSBGRG00000012816.1)
Source: RNAcentral